Molecule: ribosomal RNA, 301 nt
Filed under: uncultured bacterium
Lineage: Bacteria
Description: partial 16S ribosomal RNA
Rfam family: Bacterial small subunit ribosomal RNA
Source: RNAcentral
CAGCAGCCGCGGUAAUACGUAGGGUGCGAGCGUUAAUCGGAAUUACUGGGCGUAAAGCGUGCGUAGGCGGUUUGUUAAGUCUGUUGUGAAAUCCCCGGGCUCAACCUGGGAAUGGCAAUGGAUACUGGCAAGCUAGAGUGCGUCAGAGGAUGGUGGAAUUCCCGGUGUAGCGGUGAAAUGCGUAGAGAUCGGGAGGAACAUCAGUGGCGAAGGCGGCCAUCUGGGACAACACUGACGCUGAGGCACGAAAGCGUGGGGAGCAAACAGGAUUAGAUACCCGAGUAGUCCCUGUCUCUUAUAA